RNAcentral lists this ribosomal RNA (1260 nucleotides) under uncultured microorganism. RNAcentral's name for it is "partial 16S ribosomal RNA". It matches the Rfam family "Bacterial small subunit ribosomal RNA", at positions 227 to 1501 of the family's 1533-position model. The record is from RNAcentral.
AGCUUGCGGGCCCAUUAGCUUGUUGGUGGGGUAACGGCCUACCAAGGCAACGAUGGGUAGCUGGUCUGAGAGGACAAUCAGCCACACUGGAACUGGACACAGCCCGAUCCUACGGAAGGCAGCAUGGGGAAUCUUGCGCAUGCCGAAGCGUGACGCAGCACGCCGCUGGGGAAGACGGCUCGGUGUAACCUUCAGGAGGGACGAAGGUCGACGGUGAAUAGCCGUGCGGAUUGACGGUACCUCCAGAAGAAGCUCCGGCUAACUACGUGCCAGCAGCCGCGGUAAUACGUAGGGGGCAAGCGUUGUCCGGAAUCAUUGGGCGUAAAGCGCGCGUAGGCGGCCCUGUAAGUCCGUUGUGAAAGUCAAAGGCUCAACCUUUGAAUGCCGAUGGAUACUGCAGGGCUAGAGUCCGGAAGAGGCGAGUGGAAUUCCUGGUGUAGCGGUGGAAUGCGCAGAUAUCAGGAGGAACACCAAUAGCGAAGGCAGCUCGCUGGGACGGUACUGACGCUAAGGCGCGAAAGCGUGGGGAGCGAACAGGAUUAGAUACCCUGGUAGUCCACGCCGUAAACGAUGGGCACUAGGUGUGGGAGGUGUCGACUCCUCCCGUGCCGUCGCUAACGCAAUAAGUGCCCCGCCUGGCGAGUACGGCCGCAAGGCUAAAACUCAAAGGAAUUGACAGGGGCCCGCACAAACAGCGGAGCAUGCGGCCUAACUCGACGCAACGCGAAGAAACUUACCUGGGCUUGACACGUAGGUGACCGACAUACAAAUAUGUUUCCCUUCACGACACCUUACAGCCGCUGCAUGGCUGUCGUCAGCUCGUGUCGUGAGAUGUUGGGUUAAGUCCCGCAACGAGCGCAACCCCCGUUCCAUGUUGCCAGCAUUAAGUUGGGGACUCAUGGGAGACUGCCGGUGACAAACCGGAGGAAGGUGGGGAUGACGUCAAGUCAUCAUGCCCCUUAUGUCCAGGGCUACACACGUGCUACAUUGGCGCAUACAAAGGGUUGCAAUACCGUGAGGUGGAGCGAAUCCCAGAAAGUGCGUCUCGGUUCGGAUUGGAGGCUGAAACUCGCCUCCAUGAAGGUGGAGUUGCUAGUAAUCGCAGAUCAGCAAUGCUGCGGUGAAUACGUUCCCGGGCCUUGUACACACCGCCCGUCACACCACGAAAGCAGGCAACACCCGAAGCCGGUGGCCUAACCUUUUGGAGGGAGCCGUCGAAGGUGGGGCUUGUGAUUGGGGUGAAGUCGUAACAAGGUAACC